GCUCAAGCAGGUUGAGCCGAGAAGAUUUCUAACACUUGGUUGGAAUCUUCAGGUGGCAAAUACACAUGUGUAAAAUGAUUCGGGAAGAGCAAGGAGAGAGUUGUCAACAGGAAAGCAAAGGAAAUGGAAAG
This is a long non-coding RNA of Zophobas morio, 131 nucleotides long. RefSeq lists it as uncharacterized. Lineage: Eukaryota; Metazoa; Arthropoda; Insecta; Coleoptera; Tenebrionidae. The transcript is spliced from 3 exons. The record is from RefSeq and is a predicted model, not a curated record.